Molecule: ribosomal RNA, 460 nt
Filed under: uncultured bacterium
Lineage: Bacteria
Description: partial 16S ribosomal RNA
Rfam family: Bacterial small subunit ribosomal RNA
Source: RNAcentral
CCUACGGGAGGCAGCAGUGAGGAAUAUUGGUCAAUGGACGAGAUUCUGAACCAGCCAAGCAGCGUGAAGGAUGAAUGCACUAUGGAUCGUAAACCUCUUUUAUCUGGGAAUAAAACAGGGUAUGCAUACCCUCUUGUAUGUACCUUAAGAAUAAGGAUCGGCUAACUCCGUGCCAGCAGCCGCGGUAAUACGGAGGAUCCGAGCGUUAUCCGGAUUUAUUGGGUUUAAAGGGAGCGUAGGGGGAUUGUUAAGUCAGUUGUGAAAGUUUGCGGCUCAACCGGAGAAUUGCAGUUGAAACUGGCAGUCUUGAGUACAGUAGAGGUGUGCGGAAUGCGUGGUGUAGCGGUGAAAUGCGUAGAUAUCACGAAGAACUCCGAUUGCGAAGGCAGCUCACUGGACUGCAACUGACACUGAGGCUCGAAAGUGUGGGUAUCAAACAGGAUUAGAUACCCCAGUAGUC